Alosa alosa (allis shad) is the source of this 276-nucleotide long non-coding RNA. RefSeq lists it as uncharacterized. The transcript is spliced from 2 exons. NCBI's taxonomy places the organism in Eukaryota, Metazoa, Chordata, Actinopteri, Clupeiformes, Clupeidae. The record is from RefSeq and is a predicted model, not a curated record.
UUGCAUCGUAUUACGUCUUAAACAUGGAAUACCAAGAGUCAGCUGCAUGCACUUUGGAGCUUGUUCAGAGAUUUCUGGUGAGAAUUAAUCCGGAAGAUGGAAAGAAAUGCACAGCCCGACAGGGAGUGAGCAAGAAGACCGGACGAAUUGUCCAGAAAAAAGCACCACCCAUCAACUCCCACGUUAAUAACUUCUUCAUUUGCUCCUUGCUGGACUUAAAAUGGCAGACCUCUAACUAAGCAGUUACAUCUAACAGGUUUUGUGUGUGUGUGUGUG